GCCUCCCUCCGGGUCCGCCCUUUUAGCCCCGCGCUGCCCGCUUGCCAAUGCGGCUGGGCUUCUUGAGCCCGGGGACCUGGGGGAGCAGGAGGGGCAAGGCCACCCCCUACAGCCUCCAGUCAUCGUUACAAACUGAAGUCUCACGGUCAAUGCCAAUUCCAGCCACCACCAGAGUUCAAACACUUACCGUUCAAAGGAACAGAGAAAGCCGCCGGUGCUAAAAAAAAAAAAAAAAUCUAGAGGAAAAAACAACCCCACACGAUGGGGCAGUUCUUGAAUAUAGACGCCCUGGGAAAAAAGGCUCGAAACACCUUUUGGCCCCAAAGCUGGGAGACAUCAGUGCUCUUGAUUCUCAGGCCUUUGAAUUCAGACUGAAUUAUACCACCAGUUCUCCUGGGUUUUCAGAUGGAAGAUACCAGAUUGUGGGACUUCUUGGCCUCCAUAAUCAUCAACCGUGGCCGUGAUCGUACCGUGGUUAGUACUCUGCGUUGUGAUUUGUAGCAACCGUAUAAACAGGAUGGGUGCCAAUUAUUUAUAAAUACAUAAACAAAGUGACAAUGGUAGAUUGUCGGCAAAGAUGGUGGCUGGCCAUUCCUCCCAUCUCUAUGCGGGCAGGAAGCUCCCCCCUCUCAAGAGAUGGAGUCUAUUUCCUCACUCCUCGAGAGCUGGCCUUUGACUUGCUUUGACCACGAGAACAUGGCGGCGAUGCUAUCCCAGAACUUCUAAGUGGAAGCCUGGAAGUUUAGCUAGAGGGAAUACCAUCUGCUGUGUUAGGAUGUCCAGGGAUUCCUGCUGGAGAGGGAAGCCAAGCGGAGGGGACUCCAGGAACUCACCUGACAACCAGAAGGCCCCAGCGACAUGAGGGAGUCCAGUCAGCACCCCAGGAAAAGAGGCCCAGCUGUCCUAUGCAGUCCUCAGUUGUCCAAGCCAUUCCGGCUGAAGCACCAGCCCCGUGAGAGAGGCCAUCACGGUCCUCCAGCCCCUCAUGAACCCACCCCAGCUAACACCACAUGGAACACAGAAGAACUGUCCCUCUGCACCCUGCCUAGUUCUUGACCCACAGACUCAUGAGCAAAUAAAAUGAUUGUUAUUUUAAGCCGCCACAUUUAGGUGUGGUUGGCCUGUUAUGUCCCAGUGGAUAACCUCCCAGUGACAACUUGCUAAAUCCUUAAAAUUGGGAUUUACCAAAUCUUGAAACAUUUCAGAGGCCAAAAGGAAAAGAUGAGUAGAAUAUCCAUUAACCAAAGCUGUCAUAACUAAGGGAAUUUUUUAAAAGUCCUUUUGAAAAAG
Molecule: long non-coding RNA, 1290 nt
Organism: Hyaena hyaena (striped hyena)
Lineage: Eukaryota; Metazoa; Chordata; Mammalia; Carnivora; Hyaenidae
Exons: 3
Source: RefSeq, a predicted model, not a curated record